GUGUUUGAGAUAGGUGGGAGACUUUGAAGCGGGCACGUAAGCGCUCGUGGAGUCAAUAGUGAAAUACCACCCUUGGAUAGUUGGAUAUCUAACUGUCUUCCGUGAAUCCGGAAGCAGGACAGUGUCAGAGGGUCAGUUUGACUGGGGCGGUUUCCUCCCAAAGUGUAACGGAGGAGUUCGAAGGUACACUCAGCAUGGUUGGCAAUCAUGCGUAGAGCGUAAGGGUAGAAGUGUGCUUUACUGUGAGACCGACAGGUCGAGCAGUUGCGAAAGCAGGACCUAGUGAUCCAGCGGUGGAAUGUGGAAUUGCCGUUGCUCAUCGGACAAAAGGUACUCCGGGGAUAACAGGCUAAUAGCGCCCAA
This 363-nucleotide ribosomal RNA is filed under the name Ctenophora environmental sample. RNAcentral describes it as "partial Bacterial large subunit ribosomal RNA". It matches the Rfam family "Bacterial large subunit ribosomal RNA", at positions 2134 to 2495 of the family's 2925-position model. The record is from RNAcentral. Lineage: Eukaryota; Metazoa; Ctenophora.